RNAcentral lists this unclassified non-coding RNA (337 nucleotides) under soil metagenome. RNAcentral's name for it is "partial contains 5.8S ribosomal RNA, internal transcribed spacer 2, and large subunit ribosomal RNA". The stretch from base 1 to 120 matches the Rfam family "5.8S ribosomal RNA", at positions 35 to 154 of the family's 154-position model. The record is from RNAcentral.
GAUGAGGAACGUAGCGAAAUGCGAUAAGUAGUGUGAAUUGCAGAAUUCAGUGAAUCAUCGAAUCUUUGAACGCACAUUGCGCCCCUUGGUAUUCCAUGGGGCAUGCCUGUUCGAGCGUCAUUUGUACCUUCAAGCUCUGCUUGGUGUUGGGUGUUUGUCUCGCCUCUGCGUGUAGACUCGCCUCAAAACAAUUGGCAGCCGGCGUAUUGAUUUCGGAGCGCAGUACAUCUCGCGCUUUGCACUCAUAACGACGACGUCCAAAAGUACAUUUUUACACUCUUGACCUCGGAUCAGGUAGGGAUACCCGCUGAACUUAAGCAUAUCAAUAAGCGGAGGA